UACGAACUGUGCGAACGUUAUUCGGAAUCACUGGGCUUAAAGGGUGCGUAGGCGGCGUCAUAAGUCAGGUGUGAAAUCCCCCGGCUCAACCGGGGAACUGCGCUUGAAACUGUGAUGCUCGAGUGAGGUAGGGGUAUGUGGAACUUCCGGUGGAGCGGUGAAAUGUGUAGAUAUCGGAAGGAACGCCGGUGGCGAAAGCGGCAUACUGGGCCUUUUCUGACGCUGAGGCACGAAAGCCAGGGGAGCGAACGGG
Molecule: ribosomal RNA, 253 nt
Filed under: uncultured bacterium
Lineage: Bacteria
Description: partial 16S ribosomal RNA
Rfam family: Bacterial small subunit ribosomal RNA
Source: RNAcentral